UGAGGAGUUGCUGGCUGGGACCCAGCUCUAGCUCCGACUAUAGCAAGGCCUCAUCCCCAACGCUCGGCAACCGAUGCAUGACAACACAAGCUCAGGGCUGCUUUAAGGCUUUGGGUGCUGGGGAGUGGUGGGUUUCACUGUGAAGGCUGUUUGAGCCUUAAAUCUGCACGGACUGAGGAAGGGUUAAGGUAUCCGACUACACUUGCUUCCACAACUCCCCCACCCCUGAGAGCCCUGCAUUCAGAUGUGGUAGCAAUGAAGACGAGAAGCCAGAGCAGAAAUCCCCCUGAUCCUUGUUAAACACUGGGAGACCGUGUUAUUCCCACAUUACGGUGCAGCGGUACAUAGAGCAUUAGUGCCAGGCUGAUUUGAAAUCAUAUGGUGUCUUACUGAAAAGAGUGUCAAUGAAGGUGGAUGGUGUCUUCGCUUUACUGUCUGAGUGCUAAAUAAAGGUCUACGCAAAGCAUGUUUGAUAAAUGUAUUUUAUCUAUUGAUCCGUUUUUGACUUUUAUGAAUUCUUGAAAGUAUUUUGCUAAUGUUUUUUACACAGAAGCCUAUUCAUGAUCAGAUUUUGUGGUGGUAUUUCAACAGAAAUAUUUAAUGCUUUGUUGGACAAAAAUGUCACAACAACAUUGUGUCAAUAAUGCAAUUAUUAAUAUUUUUGUUAGUCAAGGCUUCAAAAUGAAAUCAAUAACAACUUUUAAAAGGAAUAAACACAACAUUUUUUUCCCUUCAACUUUUAUAGUGCAAUGUUUUUUACACCAAACUUUUAGCAAUAUUUUGCUCUUCAUUUACUUUUCUCCUGUCGGUGAAGUUGACUUCUAAUAGUGAGGAUGUAUCAUAAAAUUACACUUUUUCUUCCACCCUCCUUUACUGAACUUGGUGAUGACCGCCCCCUUCAAAAGAUGGCCUGACUCUUCCAGAAUCAAGCCUGAUUACCCAUCUCUAGGACACUAAGACGUGCCCAACUUCAAAAGAAGCAGAGACAAUCACGGGUGGGGUGGUGCAUUGUGGUGAAGAGGUGAGAGAGCCGCGUCGGCUCGGGCCAGACUGAACUGUCUCAGCCAGGGGGCCGGGGCUAUUAAAAGAUAAAUGUAUUUCUCUGUUGCAUUAUUCAUGAUGUGAGGGGAGCUUAGUAUAGCAGUGACUCCCUUCUCUGCCUCAUCAGGGCAAAGGCCCCCCUAGUGCACCCGCUGCACCUACACCCUUAUGCAAGAGAGGGUGGGUGCAGAGGGGGUGAUAGGGGCAGCAGCUGUAGAACAGAGAGGAUGAGAUAGAAAGAUAAUGCAACAGCAUGUAUGCCCACGCACGCAUAUUAAAUAUAUCUUUGCAUGUAAACCUAAAUAAACCUGAAUGAAGACAA
Xiphophorus couchianus (Monterrey platyfish) is the source of this 1363-nucleotide long non-coding RNA. RefSeq lists it as uncharacterized. NCBI's taxonomy places the organism in Eukaryota, Metazoa, Chordata, Actinopteri, Cyprinodontiformes, Poeciliidae. The transcript has 2 exons. The record is from RefSeq and is a predicted model, not a curated record.